RNAcentral lists this transfer RNA (67 nucleotides) under Lentula callani. RNAcentral describes it as "tRNA-Thr". It matches the Rfam family "tRNA". Rfam says of the family: Transfer RNA (tRNA) molecules are approximately 80 nucleotides in length. Their secondary structure includes four short double-helical elements and three loops (D, anti-codon, and T loops). Lineage: Eukaryota; Metazoa; Arthropoda; Insecta; Orthoptera; Lentulidae. The record is from RNAcentral.
GUUUUAAUAGUUUAAAAAAAACAAUGGUCUUGUAAACCAACAUUAAAGUCCCCCCCUUUUUAAGACA